GUGCUCACUUUGGCAGCACAGAGACUAAAACUGGAACACUACAGAAAUCAGCAUGGUCCCUGCCCAAGGAUGAAACAGAUUUUUGAAGCAUUCCUUAUUUUU
This is a small nuclear RNA of Marmota marmota marmota (Alpine marmot), 102 nucleotides long. NCBI's taxonomy places the organism in Eukaryota, Metazoa, Chordata, Mammalia, Rodentia, Sciuridae. The record is from Ensembl.